This 207-nucleotide long non-coding RNA is filed under the name Manihot esculenta (cassava). RNAcentral describes it as "long non-coding RNA (MESC_LNC003427)". The record is from RNAcentral. Lineage: Eukaryota; Viridiplantae; Streptophyta; Magnoliopsida; Malpighiales; Euphorbiaceae.
UUCGGCGGCACCUUCGGCGGCCGAAUGUGCUGGACAGAUCCGAAAGUCCAUUCUUUCGGAGGCAGCCUUAGGCAGCCGAAACUGCCUUCACAAGGGGUUCGGCGGCCGAAUCCUCCCUUCGGCGGCCGAACCUGAGUUCAUCCAGAACUCAGCUUCAUGCACAACCAUCUCCUGCCAAGCACCAACUCUACACAAUCAUGCAUACAC